RNAcentral lists this long non-coding RNA (713 nucleotides) under Heterocephalus glaber (naked mole-rat). RNAcentral describes it as "lncRNA (ENSHGLG00000041265.1)". The record is from RNAcentral. Lineage: Eukaryota; Metazoa; Chordata; Mammalia; Rodentia; Bathyergidae.
GUCCACUUUCUGAGUUAACACAAGAAUCAAACUUUUGCAAGCCGCCUCUGCAGACUUCUUGCAUUGUUACUCAGCAUUAAUGCACCAAGCAAACAGCCUGUCUGGCGUUCAGCUCACGGAACACUCACAGGAUGAGAGGAAUCACAUAAAGCAGAUACUUACAUGUAGUGGUUUUUCUUUCUAAGCCAAACAAGCUGGAAACCUUGGAACUGGCGGGCUGAGUAAGAGUCACUGACCCAGUAAUCUGGUUUAAAGGGCUUAGAGAGGAAGGGGGAGGAAAAAUAUCCCAGGGAAGGAAGAGAGCUGAAAUUCCAGUCUUUCAGGUCAGCUGAGUUUGAGUUUUCUUUGUACUAAAAAUCCAUUAACCCACACAUCAAAAAAAAAAACCCCAACCAGAACUAAAUUUCACACACACACACACUCCACUUCAUUUGUUCCAAGGCUGCUGCUGCGGCUUUGCAAACUUCAGGAGCACCAAGCUCCAGGACUCCUCCUGAGAAGGACAGGAUCGGGAUGCCUGCCACUGUUUGCAAGGAGCUCCAGCUCCCAGGCCGAGAGCCACGUUCACCCUUCCCUUCGGCUGGGCCCCAUAUAUGCUUUCCUGAGAAGCAAUGACGGAAAUAGAGGAAUGAAAAAGAAGGGUAAGAAAAAAACAACAAAGAAAAAAGAAGGUGAGAAUUCCAUUUUGGUGGUAUUAAAAAGAGGUGAAGAGG